UACGUAGGGGGCAAGCGUGGUCCGGAAUUAUUGGGCGUAAAGAGCGCGUAGGCGGUCCGGUAAGUCGGUUGUGAAAGUCGGGGGCUCAACCCUCGGAUGCCGAUCGAUACUGUCGGGCUAGAGUCCGGAAGAGGCGAGUGGAAUUCCUGGUGUAGCGGUGAAAUGCGCAGAUAUCAGGAGGAACACCAAUGGCGAAGGCAGCUCGCUGGGACGGUACUGACGCUGAGGCGCGAAAGCGUGGGUAGCAAACAGG
This 253-nucleotide ribosomal RNA is filed under the name uncultured bacterium. RNAcentral's name for it is "partial 16S ribosomal RNA". It matches the Rfam family "Bacterial small subunit ribosomal RNA", at positions 524 to 776 of the family's 1533-position model. The record is from RNAcentral.